This 294-nucleotide ribosomal RNA is filed under the name uncultured bacterium. Its description in RNAcentral is "partial 16S ribosomal RNA". It matches the Rfam family "Bacterial small subunit ribosomal RNA", at positions 28 to 313 of the family's 1533-position model. The record is from RNAcentral.
GACGAACGCUGGCGGCGUGCUUAACACAUGCAAGUCGAGCGGUAAGGCCCUUUCGGGGGUACGACGAGCGGCGAACGGGUAGGAGUAACACGUGGGUGGACCUCGUCCUCAGCUCUGGGAGUAAGCCUCGGGAAACCGGGUACGUAAUACCGGAUAUGACUCCAUGACGCAUGUUGGUGGGGUGGAAAGCCUUGUGCGGCUGAGGAUGGGCCCGCGGCCUAUCAGCUUGUUGGUGGGGUGANGGCCUACCAAGGCGACGACGGGUAGCCGGCCUGAGAGGGCGACCGGCCACAC